AUUGAACGCUGGCGGCAGGCCUAACACAUGCAAGUCGAGCGGAUGAAGGGAGCUUGCUCCUGGAUUCAGCGGCGGACGGGUGAGUAAUGCCUAGGAAUCUGCCUGGUAGUGGGGGAUAACGUCCGGAAACGGGCGCUAAUACCGCAUACGUCCUGAGGGAGAAAGUGGGGGAUCUUCGGACCUCACGCUAUCAGAUGAGCCUAGGUCGGAUUAGCUAGUUGGUGGGGUAAAGGCCUACCAAGGCGACGAUCCGUAACUGGUCUGAGAGGAUGAUCAGUCACACUGGAACUGAGACACGGUCCAGACUCCUACGGGAGGCAGCAGUGGGGAAUAUUGGACAAUGGGCGAAAGCCUGAUCCAGCCAUGCCGCGUGUGUGAAGAAGGUCUUCGGAUUGUAAAGCACUUUAAGUUGGGAGGAAGGGCAGUAAGUUAAGACCUGCUGUUUUGACGUUACCAACAGAAUAAGCACCGGCUAACUUCGUG
Molecule: ribosomal RNA, 483 nt
Filed under: uncultured bacterium
Lineage: Bacteria
Description: partial 16S ribosomal RNA
Rfam family: Bacterial small subunit ribosomal RNA
Source: RNAcentral